AGUGCCAUAUAAAACCUGGGUGAUACAGGAAAUGCCAGAUGGAAAAGCUGACUCUGGUUUUCUGGCCCCACCCCAUCUGUAUGAGAAGGACUAUCCUGUCAUUAUGUGCAGUGUUUGAUGUUUUCACGUAUGUUCCUGUCUCAGGAAAACACUGAAGAUUAGCUAGCAACCAGGUGGUUGUAUCUCAUUGGUAAAAGUCUUGGGAUGGUUUAAUCUCAUGGCUUUGCCUGAUGUUCACAUAAACCUCACUCUUCCUACCCAAGCUGACAGCGUGUUAUUGUUUGUGUAUGUUCUAUGGCUACUUGCUUCCAAAAUGCACAAUUUAAUGUGAAAAAAAGUAUGUUGCUAUGCCCAUCUCUUCUGUCACCAAAAUGAAAAGGCUCACAGAAUUCCUCUGCCCACCCUCCAGACACAUUGCACAGUGACAUUCUCUGGAAGUGUGGAAGGCCACGUACAAAGAGUAGAAGUGAGAAACUCCUGCUGUGCACCAGCUGCCUGAAGAAAAGCUUUGGAGGAGUACAGGAGGCAAGUUGCUCAGCUUUGCUCUUACUGUGCUCAUUUGCUGCCACAAAAAUGGGUAGACUUUUAAAAGCCAUGCUGUGGGUCACCUGUAACUUCUGGACCCACCAUGAUUCUUCCGCAGUCUCCUUUGCCAAAUCAAAGCUUUGCAGCAGGCAAUCCAGACACUUGUCACUGGAUGCAGGGAAUGACACCUCACAGUGGAAUGGGCAUUGGCAGGCAGGGGGCAGAAGCAGUCCUCUAAGAAACAGUAGCUGUGGCACAAGUAGAGGCCAGUGCUACAUACAGAUGGCAGCCAGGAACCCCACACGUCCAGCUCGAUGUCACAACAUGGGGAACAUCCUACGUCACCCAUUACGGCUGAUCAGCAGCCUCCACAGGUGGGUCUUUCAGGAGGCAGGAAGUGGAGCAAGGGUCCAUGGCUGAGUGCAUUAUAGGAAUAUAAACAUCAUCCAUGUCUGGCAUGACAAAAACUUUCUGAAGCUCUUGCUCCAGUUUCUUCUCUAUCCAGUCUGUCACGUGAACUAAAGUCACUUCUCUCUCUCCAAGUUUUGGCCGGGCUUUCAGCUCCACGUGGUGGCUUUCGGAAACCAUACCAUACUCGGCCAGUUGGCGGUGGUGGAAUGUUGACUGCCAAGGUUCCUCUGCAUUCUUGUACUUCAACAGUGAGCAGCAGGGGUGUGUUGGAGAGUUCUUCAAUCUUCUUUUUAAUAAACUCUGUCUCUGUUGCUUUUUGGAAAUAUUUUGACUUGGUAAUUUAUCAACAAACAUUUGAACUGCCAGAGUUAGCUUACAGGACACUUGCCAGAGUUUUGUGUGACUAUUUUAAACACUUUAAAUGCUUGGAACAGGAAACUGCAGCAGCAGGGACUGAACCCCCUCCAGCCACCACCAGCCUGGAAGAGCAGCCCAAGGUCCACCUAGCCGGAAAAACCAUGUCCAAACCAGGAAAUGGACAGCCCCCAGUCCCUGAGAAGCCGCCCCUGAAGGACAGCAUUUCCACAUGAUUGACAGCGUCCACUCACUGGGAAAGGUGACCUCAGAUGUGGCCGAAAGAAGGAAGCUGAACGCAGGGUGUGGCCUGUCGGAGGAGUUAGGUUCUGCCUGACGUUCAGGAGAAGUGACCCUGGUGAAAGGGGAUCUCAGGUCCCUGGAGGAGUGGGGACAGUGGUAGAUGAUGACUUCAGUAUCUACUAUGAUUUUUACUCUGUGGAUGAGCACAUGGACUCUGACAGCAAGUCGGAAGUUGAAGCUCUAACUGAACAACUAAGUGAAGAGGAGGAGGAAGAGGAAGAAGAGGAGGAAGAUGAGGAGUCAGGGAAUCAGUCAGAUAGGAAUGGUUCUAGUGGCCGGCACAAGGCCAAGAAGAAAUGGCGAAAAGACAGCCCAUGGGUGAAGCCAUCUCGGAAACGGCACAAGCAGGAGCCUCCGAGCGCCGAGGAGCCACGAGGAGUGAACGGUGUGGGCUCAGGCCCCAGUGAGUACAUGGAGGUACCUCUGGGGACCCUGGAGCAGCCCAGCGAGGGGACCCUCUCCCUCAACCAUGCUGGGGUGUCCAAUGACACAUCUUCGCUGGAGACAGAGUGCAGGUUUGAGGAGUUGCCCCUGUGCAGCUGCCGCAUGGAGGCACCCAAGAUUGACUGCAUCAGUGAGAGGGCAGGGCACAAGUGCAUGGCCAUGGAGAGUGUGGACAGAGAGCUUUCGGGCUGCAACGCCACCAUCCUCAAGCGGGAGACCAUGAGGCCACCCAGCCGCGUGGCCCUGAUGGUGCUCUGUGAGACCCACCACACCCGCAUGGUCAAACACCACUGCUGCCCGGGCUGCGGCUACUUCUGCAUGGCGGGCACCUUCCUUGAGUGCCACCCUGACUUCUGCGUGGCCCACCACUUCCCCAAGGUCUGUGUGUCCCAGCUGAAUGGUAUGGUCUUCUGCCCCCACUGUGGGGAGGAUCAUUCUGAGGCUCAGGAGGUGACCAUUCCCCGGGGUGAUGGGGUGACCCCACUGGCCGGCACUGCAGCUCCUGCACCCCCACCCCGUCCCAGGUUGCCCCCGGGAGAGCAGACACUUCCCAGCCCAGCGCCCGGAUGCGAGGCCAUGGGGAGCCCUGGCGCCCACCCUGCUAUCCCCUGGCUGACACCAUCAACAGCUCAGGACCCUCCCUGACCCUGCCCAAUGGGAGCUGCCAUGGGGCUGCCACUGGGGCCAGGCUGGGAGACCCUGGAAAAGGCCCUGGUCAUCCAGGAGUCAGAGAGGUGGAAGAAGCUCCGUUUCCAUCCUCGGCAGUUGUACCUGCCUGUGAAGCAGGGCGAGCUGCAAAAGGUGAUCCUGAUGCUGUUGGACAACCUGGACCCCAACUUCCAGAGCGACCAGCAGAGCAAGCGUAGGCCCCUGCAUGCAGGCGCCCAGAAGGGCUCCGUGGAGAUCUGCCAUGUGCUGCUGCAGGCUGGAGCCAACAUAAAUGCAGUGGGCACCACUGAUGGAGGCCGUGGUGAACAACCACCUGGAGGUGGCCUGUUACAUGGUACAGCCUGGCGGCUGCGUCUGUACCAAAGAGGAGGGCGGUUCCACCUGCUUCCACCAUGCAGCCAAAAUCGGCAACUUGGAGAUUGUAAGCCUACUGCUGAGCACGGGACAGGUGGAUGAAAACGCCCAGGACAGUGGUGGGUGGACACCCAUCAUCUGGGCUGCAGAGCAUAAGCACAUCGAGGUAAUCCGCAUGCUAUUGACACAGGGCACUGACGUCACCCUCACUGACAACGAAGAGAACAUCUGCCUGCACUGGGCCUCGUUCACUGGCAGCGCCACCAUCUCUGAAGUGCUUCUGAAUGCAUGCUGUGACCUCCAUGCUGUCAACUACCACGGGGACACGCCCCUGCACAUCGGAGCUCGGGAGAGCUACCAUGACAGCGUGCUGUUAUUCCUGUCAUGUGGAGCCAAGCCUGAGCUGCAAAACAAGGAGGGGAACAUGGUAUGGGACCUGACUCCCAAGCGCUCCAACUUGCGGUUUGUGCUUCAACUCAACCGCAAGCUCUGACUCGGGGUAGGAAAUCAGGCCAUCCACACAGAGAAGAUCAUCUGGCGGGAUGUGGCUCGGGGCUAUGAGAACAUGCUCAUUCCCUAUGUCAAUAGUGUGGACGGGGAGCCCUGCCCCAAGGAUUACAAGCACAUCUCGGAAAACUGCAAGAUGUUCACCAUGAACAUCGACCGCAACAUCACCCAUCGGCAGCACUGCACGUGUGUGGACGACUGCUCCAGCUCCAACUGCCUGUGCAGCCACCUCAGCAUCCCGUGCUGGUAUGACAAGGAUGGGCGAUUGCUCCAGGAAUUUAACAAGAUUGAGCCCCCACUGAUUUUUGAGUGUAACCAGGCAUGCUCCUGCUGGAGAAGCUGCAAGAGCUGGGUCAUACAGAGCGGCAUCAAAGUUCGGUUACAGCUCUACCAAACAGCCAAGAUGGGCUGCGGGGGGUCCAUGCCCUGCAGACCAUCCCACAGGGAACCUUCAUCUGCAAGUAUGUUGGGGAGCUGAUCUCUGAUGCUGAGGCUGAUGUGAGAGAGGAUGAUUCUGACCUCUUCAACUUAGACAACAAGGAUGGAGAGGUGUACUGCGUUGAUGCUCGUUACUAUGGCAACAUCAGCUGCUUCAUCAACCACCCAUGUGACCCCAACAUCAUUCCCGUCUGGGUCUUCAUGCUGCACCAAGACCUGCGAUUUCCACGCAUUGCCUUCCUCAGUUCCUGAGACAUCCGGACUGGGGAGGCGCUAGGGUUUGACUAUGGCGACCACUUCUGGGAUAUCAAAAGCAAAUACUUCACCUGCCAGUGCGGCUCUGAGAAGUGCAAGCACUCAGCUGAAGCCAUUGCCCUAGAGCAGAGCCAUCGGGCCCACCUGAACCCACACUCCCCGAGCUGCUGCCCAAGCUCAGCUCCCUGCCCCCGUCAACACCUGAGAAUGGACCACACCCUUCCUCCCCAGCAUGGACGGCCACAGCUCAGCCACCUCCUCUGCCACCAGCUUCUCGCAGCCCAAGCCUGGGGGUGCUGCCAUCUUCUCUCUCCACCACCCCUUCACACAUUCCUGACCAGAGACUCCAGACAGGCCCUGGAGGUCUGACAGCCCCUCCCUCCCAGAGCUGGUUCCUCCCUGGAAGGGCAGCUUCAGGGCCACCCCCUGUUCCCCAUCCUCAGCUGAAGUUUGAUGAAUUGAAGUCGGGCCUCUAUGUCAACUGGUUCCUUUUGUUCUCAAUAAAUGUCGGGUUUGGUAAUUAAAAAAAAAAAAGAAAUUAAUAUAUUGAAAACAUGUUUGAACCCUUAUUUUAAUUGCGCCGUUAAAACAUUUGACUUAAAAAAAAAAGGCCU
Sapajus apella (tufted capuchin) is the source of this 4874-nucleotide RNA transcript. It is a transcript of the gene named histone-lysine N-methyltransferase EHMT2 pseudogene, with no coding region annotated. The record is from RefSeq and is a predicted model, not a curated record. The transcript has a single exon. Lineage: Eukaryota; Metazoa; Chordata; Mammalia; Primates; Cebidae.